ACUGCUCCCAACUCUCCGAAUUUGAUGUGUCAAACCCUAAAGAAUUGCUCUGCCUGUAGAACAGAACAUGCUCAGAGACGGAAGCAAAGGUGGUGGUGGAGAAGCGAUGGUGGACAAUCCGAGAACAAUUGUAGUGAGAGAUAGAGAUCUUGGUUUUGGCUAUUAGUUCGAGAAAGCAAAUCCGACGAAUGUUGAUGAUGAUAGUUGUACAUAAGAUGAUGAUCGGAGGAGCCGCCAUUGAAGAACCAACCAACAACAAGAGAUUUGAUCUAAUUUCCAGAACCACCCAUCUGCUCAAAUUUGA
This is a long non-coding RNA of Arabidopsis thaliana (thale cress), 304 nucleotides long. RefSeq annotates it as other RNA. NCBI's taxonomy places the organism in Eukaryota, Viridiplantae, Streptophyta, Magnoliopsida, Brassicales, Brassicaceae. The record is from RefSeq. The transcript has a single exon.